CCCUUUCCGGCCAGCCUACAAUGCAGUCGAGCGGUAGCACAGGGAGCUUGCUCCUGGGUGACGAGCGGCGGACGGGUGAGUAAUGUCUGGGAAACUGCCUGAUGGAGGGGGAUAACUACUGGAAACGGUAGCUAAUACCGCAUAACGUCUACGGACCAAAGUGGGGGACCUUCGGGCCUCAUGCCAUCAGAUGUGCCCAGAUGGGAUUAGCUAGUAGGUGGGGUAAUGGCUCACCUAGGCGACGAUCCCUAGCUGGUCUGAGAGGAUGACCAGCCACACUGGAACUGAGACACGGUCCAGACUCCUACGGGAGGCAGCAGUGGGGAAUAUUGCACAAUGGGCGCAAGCCUGAUGCAGCCAUGCCGCGUGUGUGAAGAAGGCCUUCGGGUUGUAAAGCACUUUCAGCGAGGAGGAAGGGUUCAGUGUUAAUAGCACUGUUCAUUGUUUUUUACUCGCAGAAGAAGCACCGGCUAACUCCGUGCCAGCAGCCGCGGUAAUACGGAGGGUGCAAGCGUUAAUCGGAAUUACUGGGCGUAAAGCGCACGCAGGCGGUUUGUUAAGUCAGAUGUGAAAUCCCCGCGCUUAACGUGGGAACUGCAUUUGAAACUGGCAAGCUAGAGUCUUGUAGAGGGGGGUAGAAUUCCAGGUGUAGCGGUGAAAUGCGUAGAGAUCUGGAGGAAUACCGGUGGCGAAGGCGGCCCCCUGGACAAAGACUGACGCUCAGGUGCGAAAGCGUGGGGAGCAAACAGGAUUUAGAUACCCUGGUAGUCCACGCUGUAAACGAUGUCGACUUGGAGGUUG
This 801-nucleotide ribosomal RNA is filed under the name Serratia grimesii. RNAcentral describes it as "bacterial SSU rRNA". It matches the Rfam family "Bacterial small subunit ribosomal RNA", at positions 34 to 826 of the family's 1533-position model. The record is from RNAcentral. Lineage: Bacteria; Pseudomonadati; Pseudomonadota; Gammaproteobacteria; Enterobacterales; Yersiniaceae.